GGGCUUCGGGGCACAGCUGCUAACCGCGGCACCCAGCACCCGAGAGUUGAUAAGCUUCUCUUGUGCAGUCCUCAUCAUCCUGGCCCCAAAUGUCUGCUUCCUCCGGGACGCCUGGAGCUGGGGUCAGGGCUUUGGAGAAGCAACAGCUGGACAUGUUGCCGAUGCAUCUCUCAGAAAUCAACUUGAAGACUGACAGGACUAACUCUACAACUAAAGGGAGAGAAGAAACCACAUUG
Molecule: long non-coding RNA, 236 nt
Organism: Hyaena hyaena (striped hyena)
Lineage: Eukaryota; Metazoa; Chordata; Mammalia; Carnivora; Hyaenidae
Exons: 3
Source: RefSeq, a predicted model, not a curated record